Molecule: long non-coding RNA, 2300 nt
Filed under: Ailuropoda melanoleuca (giant panda)
Lineage: Eukaryota; Metazoa; Chordata; Mammalia; Carnivora; Ursidae
Description: lncRNA (ENSAMEG00000029245.1)
Source: RNAcentral
GCCCCUCCCCGCUCCACCUCAAUUCGCUGCCUCUCCCCGCCCUCUCCGCUCAGCUCCAACCCGGCUGAGGAGCCUGCCGCGCUUCCUUGCCCGCCCCCAGGCGUCGGGGCUCGAUAGCGUCACGGCGCGUCGACGCCUGAUGACGACAGCGUGCGGCGAAGGUAGGGUGCAAAAGGCGGCGGCGUUACGAGGCUCCGUCCCGCGUCCGGGUCCGAUGACGUUACCGCGCGGCGCGGGCGCGAGCGGGCUCUGCGUCGCUCCGAGGCUCCGCCCCCCGUGCGCCCGGGCCGGAUGGCGUCAUCGCGCGGUCGGCGCGCGCGCGCGGAGGCAGUGUGUCUGGGCGACCCCGCCCCCUGGGCGCUAGGCGCUGGGAGCGCGCGCCGCGAGGACGGUCCCGGUCUGCGCUGCAGGGUCACUUCUCAAGAGGAUGUUCACUCUGAAGAGCCCCAGUGCCCCACUUGUUUGAAGGUACAGCCGCCUGCACAACACCUGUCUCUCCUAGCAUCCCACAGUCUGUCCUCUUCGAAGUUCCCUGGACUGCUUCCUGGACCCCUUCAGGCAACCAAGGACAGUCAGAAGUACCUCAGACAAAUUGGAAAGUCCCCUCUACCUACUCUGCAAAUUGGAAAGAUGCUUAUUCUAAAGAGCUCUAGGGGCGCCUGGGUGGCGCAGUCCUUAAGCGUCUGCCUUUGGUUCAGGGCGUGAUCCCAGCGUUCUGGGAUCGAGCCCCACAUCAGGCUCCUCUGCUAGGAGCCUGCUUCUUCCUCUCCCACUCCCCCUGCUCGUGUUCCCUCUCUCGCUGGAUGCCUCUGUCAAAUGAAUGAAUGAAUGAAUGAAUGAAUGAAUGAAUGAAUGAAUGAAUGAAUGAAUAAGUCUUUUAAAAAUAAAAAAAUAAAGAGCUCUAAAUUUCUAAAAAUCCCACCUUAAUAGGAUGCUUCCCAGUCCAAGACUUUCAGUGUUUCCCCUUCGUACCUGAUAAAACUUAAUUUCCUUUCUAAAACCCUUGAACUUCUGGUAAAGUAAAAGUGACAUCAGAAGGGCUCCUUUGCUGCAAGGUAAUGAGUAAACAGCCUUUAUUAAUUUGGAGGUGGUUUUGUUUUUGAUAGUUUGAGGUAUUUAUUUCAAUGACUUUAUUUUUUUAUUUUGAAGAUUCCUCAUCGAUCCUUUUUCACAUCCAUCUAUUCUUAUUUCAUUUCUGUUUUGUUUCUUACUUUCAAUUAUCUAAGGAGAAAAAAACAGUUUGGUUGUUGAUUUGUUCACUUUCUUAGCAUUGGAUUUCUUCAGAUGUCUUGGAAUUCAGGUUUGUAGGCAGUGGGCAAGAGAUACCGGCUCUCCGCCGUCUCCACCCCCUCACUCUUCCCUAGUCAGUAGCGCUGCUGCUGCUUUCACCUUCAGCCCAGAACUGGGUCCCACAGGGCCUGUUAAGGCUUUCAGUAACAGGGAGAGCAUGUCAGAUGCGGGGUCUGCAGGCAGUGGGAUUCAUUUUUGAUCUUCAGUUUGGGUCUAUGUCUUCGUUCCAAGCCCCCACCCUGUUUUGUUUUGUUUUGUUUUAUAAUUUUUAUUUUGUUAUAUUAGUCACCAUACAGUACAUCCCCAGUUUUUGAUGCAAUGUUCCAUGAUUCAUUAUUUGCAUGUAACACCCAAUGCACCAUGCAAUAUGUGCCCUCCUUAAUACCCAUCACCGGCCUAUCCCAAUCCCCCACCCCCCUCCCCUCUGAAGCCCUCAGUUUGUUUCCCAGAGUCCACAGUCUCUCACGGUUCAUUCCCCCUUCUGUUUACCCCCCCUUCAUUCUUCCCCUCCUUCUCCUACCGAUCUUCCUAUUUCUUAUGUUCCAUAAGUGAGUGAAACCAUAUGAUAAUUGUCUUUCUCUCCUUGACUUAUUUCACUUAGCAUUAUCUCCUCCAGUGCCGUCCAUGUUGCUGCAAAUGUUGGGUCAUCGUUCUUUCUGAUGGCUCAGUAAUAGUCCGUUGUAUAUAUGGACCACAUCUUCUUAAUCCAGUGAUCUGUUGAAGGGCAUCUCGGCUCCUUCUACAAUUUAGCUAUUGUGGACAAUGCUGCUAUGAACAUUGGGGUGCAUAUGGCCCUUCUCUUCACUACGUAUCUUUGGGGUAAAUACCCAGUAGUGCAAUUGCUUGACCAUAGGGUAGUUCAAUUUUUAACUUUUUAAGGGACCUCCACACUGUUUUCCAAAGUGGCUGUUCCAACUUGCAUUCCCACCAACAGUGUAAGAGGGAUCCCCGGGGCGCCUGGCUGGCGCAGUUGUUAAGCGUCUGCCUUCCGCUCAGGGCAUGAUCCCGGC